Molecule: ribosomal RNA, 602 nt
Filed under: Vishniacozyma victoriae
Lineage: Eukaryota; Fungi; Basidiomycota; Tremellomycetes; Tremellales; Bulleribasidiaceae
Description: eukaryotic LSU rRNA
Rfam family: Eukaryotic large subunit ribosomal RNA
Source: RNAcentral
UCAAAUAUCAAUAGGGAGGAAAAGAAACUAACUAGGAUUCCCUUAGUAACGGCGAGUGAACCGGGAUGAGCUCAAAUUUAAAAUCUGGCGUCUUUCAGGCGUCCGAGUUGUAAUCUAUAGAGGCGUUUUCCGCGCCGGACCGCGUCCAAGUCUCUUGGAAUAGAGUAUCAAAGAGGGUGACAAUCCCGUACUUGACGCGACAACCGGUGCUCUGUGAUACGUUCUCAAUGAGUCGAGUUGUUUGGGAAUGCAGCUCUAAAUGGGUGGUAAAUUCCAUCUAAGGCUAAAUAUUGGCGAGAGACCGAUAGCGAACAAGUACCGUGAGGGAAAGAUGAAAAGCACUUUGGAAAGAGAGUUAAACAGCACGUGAAAUUGUUAAAAGGGAAACGAUUGAAGUCAGUCGUGUGAAAGGUAUUCAGCCGUCUCUGGCGGUGUAUUUGCCUUUCACGGGUCAACAUCAGUUUGAUCCGGUAGAAAAAGGCAGGAGGAAGGUGGCACCCUCGGGUGUGUUAUAGCCUCUUGUCAUAUGUGCCGGACCAGACUGAGGAACGCAGCUUGCCGCAAGGCCGGGGUUCGCCCACGUACAAGCUAGGAGCAAUCAG